RNAcentral lists this long non-coding RNA (1334 nucleotides) under Setaria italica (foxtail millet). RNAcentral describes it as "long non-coding RNA (SITA_LNC000174)". Lineage: Eukaryota; Viridiplantae; Streptophyta; Magnoliopsida; Poales; Poaceae. The record is from RNAcentral.
GACAAGCAAAUGCUGAAGGUCCUUGAAAUUGCUUGCAAGUGUGUCGACUACAAUGCAUGCAUGAGGCCGACCAUACAGGAAGUGAUCUCCUGCCUCGACAGUAUUGACCCCAACCUGCAGAUGCAAAAUUCAGUUAGGAUAGAACGCAGUUAAACAUGAUACGCUUGUAGUCCGUUAUUUUUGUACAGUUUCUGACAUAUUGUUAUUUUAGGCAAAUUUUCUGUAAUUCAGUGAUUGCCUUUUUUUCAUUUCCCCAAAUUAUUCUGUAGCAUGAGAAACAAAGAAGACCAUGGCAGCAUGAUAUGUUGGGAAAACCAUGGCAAAGAAGAAUUGGCUUGAAGAGUGAGACCUGACAUACUCUCAGGAGUUAAUUGCAUGGCCAAAUGCCCAAUCACAUAAAACUGCUGUGCUAAUGCUAUCUCAACACAAGUCAUUAAAAUGAGGAAAAGACAGCUAUAUCACCAGUAUUAUCAUAUGUAAAUAUCAUGCAACAGAUAGUGAAAAGGGAAGGAAAACAAGGACUAGCCAGCUACGUCAACAUAGAUUUUUCUUUACAGAAAACAGACGGCAUCGAUAGAGGCACUAAAAUCUGAAGCUAGCUUCCAAGUUCUAAUAUAGCCCUUUUCUGCCGCAUUUCUGCAGGGACCACAUCUGUGUUGGGUUUUAUGCUUAAAACUCAAUGCCCGCAUGGGAGUUCGAUUCGAGCUAACCCUUCAGGAAUUCUAGGAGAACUAAGGGGGCGUUUUCUUCCCGUGUCUUAUUUUUAGCACGUGUCACAUCGAAUGUUUAGAUACUAAUUAGGAGUAGUAAACGUAGACUAUUUACAAAACCAAUUACAUAAGUGGAAUCUAAACGGCGAGACGAAUCUAUUAAGCCUAAUUAAGCCUAAUUAAUCCAUCAUUAGCAAAUAUUUACUGUAGCAAUACAUUGUCAAAUCAUGGACUAAUUAGGCUUAAUAGAUUCGUCUCGCCGUUUAGAUUCGUCUUAUGUAAUGGGUUUUGUAAAUAGUCUACGUUUAAUACUCCUAAUUAGUAUCUAAACAUUCGAUGUGACGGGUGCUAAAGUUUAGCAAGUGGAAGAAAACAGGCCCUAAAAUCCGCAACUAGAAAAUGGAGAAGAGAUGGGCGAACAAAUUCAGUAGUACGAACUACGAAGCUAAGAACACACAUGGAUACUGGUUCAAGUAGUGAACGGAUAAGCUGCGGAGACCAGACUGACCCUUGCAGCUGCGGCCGGGUGCUCGGCGGAGAGACCACGGCGCCGCCGUUCGCCGUCGCCGGCUCCGGCCAGGAGUUUUCUUUUUUCUUUUUCCUUUUUUUAGCGGAGAGGACGGG